Molecule: ribosomal RNA, 2653 nt
Filed under: Staphylococcus aureus
Lineage: Bacteria; Bacillati; Bacillota; Bacilli; Caryophanales; Staphylococcaceae
Description: bacterial LSU rRNA
Rfam family: Bacterial large subunit ribosomal RNA
Source: RNAcentral
CCAAACCAACAAGCUUGCUUGUUGGGGUUGUAGGACACUCUAUACGGAGUUACAAAGGACGACAUUAGACGAAUCAUCUGGAAAGAUGAAUCAAAGAAGGUAAUAAUCCUGUAGUCGAAAAUGUUGUCUCUCUUGAGUGGAUCCUGAGUACGACGGAGCACGUGAAAUUCCGUCGGAAUCUGGGAGGACCAUCUCCUAAGGCUAAAUACUCUCUAGUGACCGAUAGUGAACCAGUACCGUGAGGGAAAGGUGAAAAGCACCCCGGAAGGGGAGUGAAAUAGAACCUGAAACCGUGUGCUUACAAGUAGUCAGAGCCCGUUAAUGGGUGAUGGCGUGCCUUUUGUAGAAUGAACCGGCGAGUUAAGAUUUGAUGCAAGGUUAAGCAGUAAAUGUGGAGCCGUAGCGAAAGCGAGUCUGAAUAGGGCGUUUAGUAUUUGGUCGUAGACCCGAAACCAGGUGAUCUACCCUUGGUCAGGUUGAAGUUCAGGUAACACUGAAUGGAGGACCGAACCGACUUACGUUGAAAAGUGAGCGGAUGAACUGAGGGUAGCGGAGAAAUUCCAAUCGAACCUGGAGAUAGCUGGUUCUCUCCGAAAUAGCUUUAGGGCUAGCCUCAAGUGAUGAUUAUUGGAGGUAGAGCACUGUUUGGACGAGGGGCCCCUCUCGGGUUACCGAAUUCAGACAAACUCCGAAUGCCAAUUAAUUUAACUUGGGAGUCAGAACAUGGGUGAUAAGGUCCGUGUUCGAAAGGGAAACAGCCCAGACCACCAGCUAAGGUCCCAAAAUAUAUGUUAAGUGGAAAAGGAUGUGGCGUUGCCCAGACAACUAGGAUGUUGGCUUAGAAGCAGCCAUCAUUUAAAGAGUGCGUAAUAGCUCACUAGUCGAGUGACACUGCGCCGAAAAUGUACCGGGGCUAAACAUAUUACCGAAGCUGUGGAUUGUCCUUUGGACAAUGGUAGGAGAGCGUUCUAAGGGCGUUGAAGCAUGAUCGUAAGGACAUGUGGAGCGCUUAGAAGUGAGAAUGCCGGUGUGAGUAGCGAAAGACGGGUGAGAAUCCCGUCCACCGAUUGACUAAGGUUUCCAGAGGAAGGCUCGUCCGCUCUGGGUUAGUCGGGUCCUAAGCUGAGGCCGACAGGCGUAGGCGAUGGAUAACAGGUUGAUAUUCCUGUACCACCUAUAAUCGUUUUAAUCGAUGGGGGGACGCAGUAGGAUAGGCGAAGCGUGCGAUUGGAUUGCACGUCUAAGCAGUAAGGCUGAGUAUUAGGCAAAUCCGGUACUCGUUAAGGCUGAGCUGUGAUGGGGAGAAGACAUUGUGUCUUCGAGUCGUUGAUUUCACACUGCCGAGAAAAGCCUCUAGAUAGAAAAUAGGUGCCCGUACCGCAAACCGACACAGGUAGUCAAGAUGAGAAUUCUAAGGUGAGCGAGCGAACUCUCGUUAAGGAACUCGGCAAAAUGACCCCGUAACUUCGGGAGAAGGGGUGCUCUUUAGGGUUAACGCCCAGAAGAGCCGCAGUGAAUAGGCCCAAGCGACUGUUUAUCAAAAACACAGGUCUCUGCUAAACCGUAAGGUGAUGUAUAGGGGCUGACGCCUGCCCGGUGCUGGAAGGUUAAGAGGAGUGGUUAGCUUCUGCGAAGCUACGAAUCGAAGCCCCAGUAAACGGCGGCCGUAACUAUAACGGUCCUAAGGUAGCGAAAUUCCUUGUCGGGUAAGUUCCGACCCGCACGAAAGGCGUAACGAUUUGGGCACUGUCUCAACGAGAGACUCGGUGAAAUCAUAGUACCUGUGAAGAUGCAGGUUACCCGCGACAGGACGGAAAGACCCCGUGGAGCUUUACUGUAGCCUGAUAUUGAAAUUCGGCACAGCUUGUACAGGAUAGGUAGGAGCCUUUGAAACGUGAGCGCUAGCUUACGUGGAGGCGCUGGUGGGAUACUACCCUAGCUGGGUUGGCUUUCUAACCCGCACCACUUAUCGUGGUGGGAGACAGUGUCAGGCGGGCAGUUUGACUGGGGCGGUCGCCUCCUAAAAGGUAACGGAGGCGCUCAAAGGUUCCCUCAGAAUGGUUGGAAAUCAUUCAUAGAGUGUAAAGGCAUAAGGGAGCUUGACUGCGAGACCUACAAGUCGAGCAGGGUCGAAAGACGGACUUAGUGAUCCGGUGGUUCCGCAUGGAAGGGCCAUCGCUCAACGGAUAAAAGCUACCCCGGGGAUAACAGGCUUAUCUCCCCCAAGAGUUCACAUCGACGGGGAGGUUUGGCACCUCGAUGUCGGCUCAUCGCAUCCUGGGGCUGUAGUCGGUCCCAAGGGUUGGGCUGUUCGCCCAUUAAAGCGGUACGCGAGCUGGGUUCAGAACGUCGUGAGACAGUUCGGUCCCUAUCCGUCGUGGGCGUAGGAAAUUUGAGAGGAGCUGUCCUUAGUACGAGAGGACCGGGAUGGACAUACCUCUGGUGUACCAGUUGUCGUGCCAACGGCAUAGCUGGGUAGCUAUGUGUGGACGGGAUAAGUGCUGAAAGCAUCUAAGCAUGAAGCCCCCCUCAAGAUGAGAUUUCCCAACUUCGGUUAUAAGAUCCCUCAAAGAUGAUGAGGUUAAUAGGUUCGAGGUGGAAGCAUGGUGACAUGUGGAGCUGACGAAUACUAAUCGAUCGAAGACUUAAUCAA